ACGGGUGCGUAACGCGUAUGCAACCUACCUUAAUCUGGGGGAUAGCCCGGAGAAAUCCGGAUUAAUACCGCAUAAAAUCACAGGAUGGCAUAAUCCAAUGAUCAAACAUUUAUGGGAUUGAGAUGGGCAUGCGUGUCAUUAGCUAGUUGGCGGGGUAACGGCCCACCAAGGCGACGAUGACUAGGGGAUCUGAGAGGAUGGCCCCCCACACUGGUACUGAGACACGGACCAGACUCCUACGGGAGGCAGCAGUAAGGAAUAUUGGUCAAUGGAGGCAACUCUGAACCAGCCAUGCCGCGUGCAGGAAGACUGCCCUAUGGGUUGUAAACUGCUUUUAUCCGGGAAUAAACCUAUCUACGUGUAGAUAGCUGAAUGUACCGGAAGAAUAAGGAUCGGCUAACUCCGUGCCAGCAGCCGCGGUAAUACGGAGGAUCCAAGCGUUAUCCGGAUUUAUUGGGUUUAAAGGGUGCGUAGGCGGCCUGUUAAGUCAGGGGUGAAAGACGGUAGCUCAACUAUCGCAGUGCCCUUGAUACUGAUGGGCUUGAAUGGACUAGAGGUAGGCGGAAUGAGACAAGUAGCGGUGAA
This 585-nucleotide ribosomal RNA is filed under the name Pedobacter sp. BvORR104. RNAcentral's name for it is "bacterial SSU rRNA". It matches the Rfam family "Bacterial small subunit ribosomal RNA", at positions 102 to 685 of the family's 1533-position model. Lineage: Bacteria; Pseudomonadati; Bacteroidota; Sphingobacteriia; Sphingobacteriales; Sphingobacteriaceae. The record is from RNAcentral.